AUUUAGUUGGUUCUGUAGUUUAUAGUUCUACAAAAGAAAGGAUUCAGUUGAUUCUCAAUGAAGGUUGAUUCUUCGCACUCUGAAGAUAAUGAUCAAUGAAUAUUACAAAGGUUGCAUAGAAAUGAAACAUUCUAAUAUAGGGUAACUUGCUUAGUUCUCUAUCAACUCAUGCUUUCAGGGACUCAAUAAACCCCUUUGUGAAGCAAGCUGUGCAAUAUGCUAUAGCUGCAUUCAAGGUAAUACUCUCUGAAAAGGAGAAAUUACAAAAACUACUUCUACAAGGUCUUGAUAUUACAAUCUUGGGAAGCAAUGAUUUCUAUUCUUGCAGAGAUCAGGGAAGAUACAUCUGUGUAUGGUUUGUAAGAAGACUUUGUAGCUGAGCAGCUAUUUCAGAGUUCUGAACAUGCUUUAGAUGAUUUGCUAUGGACUGAUCAUUCUGUUCUUUCUUCAAUGAAGGAUCAAGAUGCUAAUUUUGUUCAUCAAUCUUUUUGCGAAGGAAGGGGAGCCUUAGAGCAAUGGUAAAGUUGUUGCCAUGUGACCAAAAGGUCACGAGUUCAAAUCCUGGAGACAGCCUCUUGUAAAAAGCAGGAUUGCUGCAACCUGGCAUUUGUCAUACUUCUGCUCUGAGUGCCACUUUACUAGAGCACAAGAAAUACAUGUCUGAAUUUGAGUUCCAUUCUUGCACAAAAGGUUCUACUGCAUAGCUUUCCUGACCAAGUGUGUGAUCUGUUUCUUUUUUUGACAUAGGGAACUGCUAACAACACAGUUGCUACAGUCCAUUUCUGGAAGUCCUUUUGCACUCAAUUUUUACACCACUUGUGUCAGUACAGUACACCAACGCUGCCUUCGUUGAUGCUUCAAUGGAUGUAGUUGCUUUGAUCAGGAAAAACUCAAUUUAUUCUGAUCUUUGGAGGGAAUUGAACAGCUUAUAUAUGGUUGGUUACAUGGUGUUUGAAAUUUUGUCAUGGUUUGCUUAAUACUUGAUCAGUUCUGAUUAUCAUGUUUGUGAUGAAUUUCACAAUUGACGAAGUUCUUGGACUCAAGACAAAGAUAUUGAUUCUGAACUACUACUUGAAAUGCUUAGAUGCAUGAGCCACAUACGCCAUCAAUUAGGCAGAGCUGCUGGUGCAUUAUAUUAUGAAUCUGUUGUCAAUCCAGUCACCUCAUCGGAAGAUAUAGUUUCUCAGCUAUUAAAGAUUAUAGAAUAUGGAUAUUCUUCUUCAAUGACACCUCUUAUACAACAAAUUGGAAUUGAUGCUACUUGGACAAAGCAACAAACAGCUCACAGAAGUCAGAGGAAAUUUGCAGUUGAUAUGUUGAUCUCUCUGAAUUCAUUAUGUUCAAGAGCAACAAACUGGGCUGGGGUUUUAGAUACCAUAGAGAAGUUCCUGCCCUAUCUGGACCUGCAUAGUAACAUUAAGACAGUUGAUUCAAAAUCCAUCUACAAUGUCAAUUCUGUCCUAUUGAUCCAGGCUAACAUCACAAGUUGCAAGAGUAAUGUUUGAGACUGCAUUUGAUUCACUGUUACUGCUUCGCUACACUAGACUGCUUGUGAGAUUAUUCUCCAAUUGUGAGUGACAAGGAUAAACCCAUUCUAACAAUGCAGUUAUAUAGAUUCAAACUCCUGCACUUACCCAUUCUAACAAUGCGGUUAUAUAAAUUCAAACUCCUGUACUUUGGUGGAAGGACCUUCGGACUUAGUUCACUUACCACUAGAGCAAAUAAUCAUGAAGCUUUAUCUUUAUUGCUCUUUAUUGCUGCCUUUUUAGUUUUUUGUACAAUGCAUUAUUGAUUGUUACUUGUUUGUGUAGUGGUGAUCUAGAUAUUUUAAUAUGGCAGACUUGGUCGCCACUUGUAAUUUUUAUGUCUGCAUAGCUUUAGGACGUAUGGAAA
This is a long non-coding RNA of Zingiber officinale, 1893 nucleotides long. RefSeq lists it as uncharacterized. NCBI's taxonomy places the organism in Eukaryota, Viridiplantae, Streptophyta, Magnoliopsida, Zingiberales, Zingiberaceae. The transcript has 5 exons. The record is from RefSeq and is a predicted model, not a curated record.